Phoenix dactylifera (date palm) is the source of this 1068-nucleotide long non-coding RNA. RefSeq lists it as uncharacterized. NCBI's taxonomy places the organism in Eukaryota, Viridiplantae, Streptophyta, Magnoliopsida, Arecales, Arecaceae. The record is from RefSeq and is a predicted model, not a curated record.
UCUUUAUAGCCUCAUGCCUAGCUUCUCUCUCGAAUACUCUAAACCCACCCCUUCGCCAAGGCCAGGAGUCUCUCUCUCUCUCUCUCUGCUUUUCUGACUGCAUAUCUUCAAGUUGUUACUGCUGCUCUUCCGUUCUCUUUGCCACUCCUUUCUACCACAUCUCUUUCCACAAGAGGCCCUUAAGAUUUGGUGGAUGGAGAGCAUAAAUCCCCAUCAACUCCUCUUUCCAAGCUCUACUCCUCACUCGGAAGUCUUCUGCUCCAGUCUCACUGCAAUGAACAAUCUCAACAACGAUAUGGACGUUGCUGUGACAAACUUUGUGGGAAUCGGGAUCGACGGUAGCAGGAUGUUCGGCUUCCCCGGGGAUUUCAUAUUUAGGAGCAGACGUUUUUCGCCAGAACCAACCGUUCCUUGUUCUUGAUGCCUUAACGGUGCUAUCCUACCUGAGCUUUUCCCUUCGACCUCCACUACAGCCCUUAUCCUUCUUCACACACCUGUCACCUCUUCUCCUUUCGCAGUCUUGCAGGUUCAUGUCUUCUUGACCUUGUAAGGCCUUUUCUUGACCUUGUAAGACCCCAUCCUCCUUUGGUCCUCUUCGUCUCCUUCUCUACCACGGGCUUCCUCCUUGUGCUCAUCGACCAAGUCCUUUAUCGCCAAUUCCCUCCCUUCUCGCCCACCUCUUACUCUCCUUCCCCGUCUAUCCCUUCUGAGCUAUUUACACGGAAGUGCAUGGAUGCGUCUUCUCUUAAUUUAGUAUUUGUUUGCAUAGGACUCUCCUAAAGAUUUCAAGCUCCCCUCUAAGAGCAAUCUUUUGGUGGCCUUUCAUUUCUAUUCUAUUUAAGUUUAAAUCUUGGUUUCUUGUCAGUCUUUUCUUUGUUUUUUUCUGUAAUAUUAUGUAUGCAGGGGAAAUAUGCCUGUCUGCAGCAUCCGUUCCUUUUGUUUUACAUGUUAAUGGGUUUGAUGGGUGAUCAAUGGACGGUAAAAUAUUCUUAUCGUGACCAGUCGAGGCUGUAACGACGUAUGAAGCGUUUUGGAUUUAUUUAAGCCUUUUUGUUUGGUAGUUUGCUA